UGCAAGUCGAGGGGUAACAUAGGAAAGCUUGCUUUUCUGAUGACGACCGGCGCACGGGUGCGUAACGCGUAUACAACCUACCUUUUAGCGGGGAAUAGCCCAGGGAAACUUGGAUUAAUGCCCCAUAGUAUNNAAAGCUCUCUCCUGAANUUUAUAUUAAACAUUUAUGGCUAUUAGAUGGGUAUGCGUCCUAUUAGUUAGUUGGUAAGGUAACGGCUUACCAAGGCAGCGAUAGGUAGGGGUCCUGAGAGGGAGAUCCCCCACACUGGUACUGAGACACGGACCAGACUCCUACGGGAGGCAGCAGUGAGGAAUAUUGGACAAUGGGCGAGAGCCUGAUCCAGCCAUGCCGCGUGCAGGAAGACUGCCCUAUGGGUUGUAAACUGCUUUUACAGAGGAAGAACCACCCCCACGUGUGGGGGUUUGACGGUACUCUGCGAAUAAGGAUCGGCUAACUCCGUGCCAGCAGCCGCGGUAAUACGGAGGAUCCAAGCGUUAUCCGGAAUCAUUGGGUUUAAAGGGUCCGUAGGCGGGCAGUUAAGUCAGUGGUGAAAGUCUUCCGCUCAACGGGAGAACUGCCAUUGAUACUGAUUGUCUUGAGUUAUUAUGAAGUGGUUAGAAUGAGUAGUGUAGCGGUGAAAUGCAUAGAUAUUACUCAGAAUACCGAUUGCGAAGGCAGAUCACUAAUAAUAUACUGACGCUGAUGGACGAAAGCGUAGGUAGCGAACAGGAUUAGAUACCCUGGUAGUCUACGCCGUAAACGAUGGUUACUAGCUGUUCGGCCCAAUUGAGGGCUGAGUGGUUAAGCGAAAGUGAUAAGUAACCCACCUGGGGAGUACGUUCGCAAGAAUGAAACUCAAAGGAAUUGACGGGGGCCCGCACAAGCGGUGGAGCAUGUGGUUUAAUUCGAUGAUACGCGAGGAACCUUACCAGGGCUUAAAUGUAGUCUGACAGGUCUGGAAACAGACUUUUCUUCGGACAGAUUACAAGGUGCUGCAUGGUUGUCGUCAGCUCGUGCCGUGAGGUGUCAGGUUAAGUCCUAUAACGAGCGCAACCCCUGUGGUUAGUUGCCAGCGAGUAAUGUCGGGAACUCUAGCCAGACUGCCGGUGCAAACCGCGAGGAAGGUGGGGAUGACGUCAAAUCAUCACGGCCCUUACGUCCUGGGCCACACACGUGCUACAAUGGUAGGGACAGAGAGCAGCCACUUCGCGAGAAGGAGCGAAUCUACAAACCCUAUCACAGUUCGGAUCGCAGUCUGCAACUCGACUGCGUGAAGCUGGAAUCGCUAGUAAUCGCAUAUCAGCCAUGAUGCGGUGAAUACGUUCCCGGGCCUUGUACACACCGCCCGUCAAGCCAUGGAAGCCGGGGGUACCUGAAGUCGGUCACCGCAAGGAGCCGCCUAGGU
RNAcentral lists this ribosomal RNA (1406 nucleotides) under Salegentibacter mishustinae. Its description in RNAcentral is "bacterial SSU rRNA". It matches the Rfam family "Bacterial small subunit ribosomal RNA". The record is from RNAcentral. Lineage: Bacteria; Pseudomonadati; Bacteroidota; Flavobacteriia; Flavobacteriales; Flavobacteriaceae.